GGCUGCUGCUCUUGGGAUCUGAAAUUGACGAUGAUACAACACAGUAUCAUAUGGCUGUGUGGGAAGCCUGCGAUGCUCCAGAGACAGCUUCAUUGAACUGUCUUCUUUGCUGCUCGCACAGUAGUUGUCAUCUGUAUCACUGAAGGGGUGUGCACUCAAGCCACCCCUGUUGGACAUGGUCGUGUCAUCUUCGACAUGCUUUACAGGUUUCCCAGGAAGCCUACGGCCCUGGGUGUUGGGGACCUCGCGCCUCAAUCAUGCACAAGUUUUCCAUUGGCGGGUCCGGUGUCGGCUGCUUAGCCCAUUCUCAUACUUAAUCGAGCU
Molecule: small RNA, 324 nt
Filed under: Histoplasma ohiense
Lineage: Eukaryota; Fungi; Ascomycota; Eurotiomycetes; Onygenales; Ajellomycetaceae
Description: hypothetical lncRNA
Source: RNAcentral